GAUCGCAAGUAGCACAUGAACGAACGAUCGCAGUCAGGAAGGGGGCGCACGAAGCCAGCGAGGAUGCUUCCGAUUACUUGCUCGUCGCAGGCUACGAAGAGGGCCGAGGAACCUCUGUCGACAGAAGAAGAAGAUGGAAUAAGCUGUAGGGCUACGCUCCCUUCUGACGGACGAGGCGCAAGGGUUAAGGAUCGGUCGCGGGCGGAGGUUGCGUCACCGAGGUCGACGAGGCCGAUAGCAAGGAGCGAGAGGGAGGGUAGAAGAGGUUUCGUUGGUCUCGUUGGGUGCAGCGAUGGAGUGGAAUGCGAGACCAAAAAAGGGGUCCGGUAGAGGCAUGUCAAGCAGCGCCUCCAGUUUCUGGUGAGGUCUCCGGCAGCAGUCCUCGACGUGCGACGGAUGUUUUGCUCCGGUAAGAGUAGGUAUGGCUCGAUGAUUAUUUGAAGAAGAGAAAGGAUGUGAGGGGGCUGUUCACAGACAGCUUCAAUUGAGAAGAACACUUUUCCUUUGUCUAUGGUUUUGUAUAAAAAGUUUUGUGCCUGGUUUUGUAUAAAAAGAUGUUUACUUUGUGUGUAAAAUUGGGUGUGUUAGCAUGAAUAGUGUCAAUUUGUGUAUGUAGCAAUCCAAAGGAUUUUUGGAGAGUACAAACUCUAUUGCUUUUCGUGUGUAUUGUGUGGGUUGUUUGUGUGUAUUUCUCUAUAAACUGUUGGUCAUAUGGUGAAUGUACUUACACAUGUAUAUGUUUUUAGGUAUUUUGGUCACAAUUUCAUAUACAUAUAAUGUAAUUGUAUAGUUGUUAUUUGAUGUCCAUUUGACAAUAUAAUAUAUGUGUAUCAUUUUAUGGGUUAAAUGGACUCAUGUGAGUAGGAUUUGAGCUUUAUAUAAAUAAUAGCCCAAAGUUUUUAUCA
This is a long non-coding RNA of Lactuca sativa (garden lettuce), 905 nucleotides long. RefSeq lists it as uncharacterized. The record is from RefSeq and is a predicted model, not a curated record. Lineage: Eukaryota; Viridiplantae; Streptophyta; Magnoliopsida; Asterales; Asteraceae.